Molecule: ribosomal RNA, 373 nt
Filed under: uncultured bacterium
Lineage: Bacteria
Description: bacterial SSU rRNA
Rfam family: Bacterial small subunit ribosomal RNA
Source: RNAcentral
AGAGGGGGCAAGCGUUGUUCGGAAUUACUGGGCGUAAAGGGCGCGUAGGCGGCCUGUUAAGUCGAACGUGAAAUCCCCGGGCUCAACCCGGGAACUGCGUCCGAUACUGGCAGGCUUGAAUCCGGGAGAGGGAUGUGGAAUUCCAGGUGUAGCGGUGAAAUGCGUAGAUAUCUGGAGGAACACCGGUGGCGAAGGCGGCAUCCUGGACCGGUAUUGACGCUGAGGCGCGAAAGCCAGGGGAGCAAACGGGAUUAGAUACCCCGGUAGUCCUGGCCCUAAACGAUGAAUGCUUGGUGUGGCGGGUAUCGAUCCCUGCCGUGCCGAAGCUAACGCAUUAAGCAUUCCGCCUGGGGAGUACGGUCGCAAGGCUGAA